RNAcentral lists this small RNA (27 nucleotides) under Bombyx mori (domestic silkworm). RNAcentral describes it as "ovarian small RNA-34504". The record is from RNAcentral. Lineage: Eukaryota; Metazoa; Arthropoda; Insecta; Lepidoptera; Bombycidae.
UGGAAUUAGGAAUAAGACUGCCUGACU